This 460-nucleotide ribosomal RNA is filed under the name uncultured bacterium. Its description in RNAcentral is "partial 16S ribosomal RNA". It matches the Rfam family "Bacterial small subunit ribosomal RNA", at positions 339 to 795 of the family's 1533-position model. The record is from RNAcentral.
CUACGGGAGGCUCCAGUCGAGAAUCUUCGGCAAUGGACGAAAGUCUGACCGAGCGACGCCGCGUGCGGGAUGAAGGCCUUCGGGUUGUAAACCGCUGUCAGUUGGGAGGAAAUCACAUGGGGUUCUCCCCAUGUGUUGACCUAUCUUCAGAGGAAGUACGGGCUAAGUUCGUGCCAGCAGCCGCGGUAACACGAACCGGCAAACGUUAUUCGGAAUUACUGGGCGUAAAGCGUGCGUAGGCGGCGGAUUAAGUCAGAUGUGAAAGCCCUGGGCUCAACCUGGGAACUGCAUUUGAUAGUGGUCUGCUAGAGUCUGGUAGAGGGGAGUGGAAUUCCGGGUGUAGCGGUGAAAUGCGUAGAUAUGCGGAGGAACAUCAGUGGCGAAGGCGGCUGCCUGGACCAAGACUGACGCUGAGGUACGAAAGCGUGGGUAGCAAACAGGAUUAGAUACCCGCGUAGUC